UGGCCUCCAGCACACCCUCCCCCCACCCCUCCCUGCGGUGGACGAUGGCCAUUGAUUUCGAUCGAUGUCCGUGGUGCUCAAAUCGAGGUCCUUCCGCCGGCUAUCCACACCCGGCGCAGCUCCCAUGAGUGCAGCAUCACACCAUGUCCUCCUAGUCUGCCCAAUGACCACCGCUGCCGAGAGCCCAUCGGUGUCGCGCAUCAUCGCCGGCGUUAUGUCCCACGCUGAAGGCCCACUCUUGUCCGCCAGGUCUGCACCCAUAAGGAUGUGGCCGUGCCAGUCCGCAUGUCGCGGAGUAGCAGGUCGAGGUUGAAGACGAUGGCCACCACCUAUGCCCCCGUGAGUGGAGAUAAGGGAGGGAGCUUGUUAGCUUGAGGUUGUUGCGAGCAUGGCCGUCGUGGAGAGAGAGAGAGAAGACGCAUGAUUCUGGAGUCCAGAGUUCUUCGUUGCGAUGGUGUUUUUGGGUUAAUCCGAUGACCCAAUCAGAUGAACCAGUGUAGCACUAAUUUUUUUUUUUGCGUCAGUUUUUUGGAUUUCUACCCUACUAGUCAGCAAUUGGAUUUCGGGUCAUUGGGUUGACCCAAGAAAUUCUGCAUCCUGAGCCACGGGAAAAAGUUGGUCUCGAUCCUGCUGCUCUCUCUCGCUCCCCUGCUGCGCCACACGGAUGGAUAAGAUGUCGCGUCCCUCUGCCUACUGCCCUCUCCGCUAACCGCAACCCACAGGCCACAGCUAGGCCGUGCAGUGCAGUGCCGCCUCGCCAGCCCGACUCCCCUCCCCUUCGGCUGCAGGCUCCCGGCGGCGACUCCCCUCCCCUUCGGCUGCACCGCUGCAGGCGCCCGGCGCCCAGCACUCAGGGGGCGCGGAGCUGUGCCGGCCGGCCGGCGGCGUGUGCUUAUCCCCUCCCCGUGGCUGCAGUCGCGCGGAGCUCGGCUCCAUCAACGACCGAGGCCAGCGGCGCACGCGGCUGCCCAGCAAGAGGGCGCAGCAUCGCCAGCGCUACGCCAGGAGCAAGACAACCAGCUGCUCGCACCACAUCUCAGUCUCCACCGCGCUCCCUGCCACCACGCUAUGGUGCUCGCGCCGCUUGCCCAGACCUCAGAAGUAGCCAUGAUGGGCAAUUCCAAAGGACGGAGUUUCUUAGUACCUUCAGAGAAGCAAGAUCUUUGGAUGAAGUUCCUCAACAAGAAGAAGGAUGUACCUGAUUACCUUUGUAUAUGCAGUUUAUGAUACAAGAAUAAUGUUGUUACAUUUCAUGCCAUGCAACUUUUAUUCAAUUCUUCGUUUCAUGCCAUGCAACUUUUAUUCAAUUCUUCGAGAUAGAUUUAUGCA
Molecule: long non-coding RNA, 1329 nt
Organism: Panicum virgatum (switchgrass)
Lineage: Eukaryota; Viridiplantae; Streptophyta; Magnoliopsida; Poales; Poaceae
Exons: 2
Source: RefSeq, a predicted model, not a curated record